UUCAUCCAAAUACAUUUUUGACAAUCACUUAGUUUGUGACCUCAUCGGCGUAGAGAAAUUGCUCAUUUGACUUGUUUGUAGCAAUAUCCAAAUAACAAAGACUUUCAUGAUAAUAAUAUUGACAGUCUUGUAGGAUAAUACGAUAUGACAGUAUUUCCACACGAAAACAUACAUCUCUUUUGAAAUCAAACUUGGUAUAAGCCAAAUGAUUUCCUGCAGUUUCAUAACCAAUAAACUUUGACAAGAUUGGUUAGAAUAAAUAAAUUUAUAAAUCAACUAGUAAAAUAACCCGC
This 293-nucleotide long non-coding RNA is filed under the name Solanum tuberosum (potato). Its description in RNAcentral is "long non-coding RNA (STUB_LNC002635)". Lineage: Eukaryota; Viridiplantae; Streptophyta; Magnoliopsida; Solanales; Solanaceae. The record is from RNAcentral.